GACGAACGCUGGCGGCGUGCUUAACACAUGCAAGUCGAACGGAAAGGCCCUGCUUUUGUGGGGUGCUCGAGUGGCAAACGGGUGAGUAACCCGUGAGUAACCUGCCCUGGACUUUGGGAUAACUUCAGGAAACUGGGGCUAAUACCGGAUAGGAGCUCCUGCUGCAUGGGGGGGGUUGGAAAGUUUCGGCGGUUGGGGAUGGACUCGCGGCUUAUCAGCUUGUUGGUGGGGUAGUGGCUUACCAAGGCUUUGACGGGUAGCCGGCCUGAGAGGGUGACCGGCCACAUUGGGACUGAGAUACGGCCCAGACUCCUACGGGAGGCAGCAGUGGGGAAUAUUGCACAAUGGGCGGAAGCCUGAUGCAGCAACGCCGCGUGCGGGAUGACGGCCUUCGGGUUGUAAACCGCUUUCGCCUGUGACGAAGCGUGAGUGACGGUAAUGGGUAAAGAAGCACCGGCUAACUACGUG
RNAcentral lists this ribosomal RNA (468 nucleotides) under uncultured bacterium. Its description in RNAcentral is "partial 16S ribosomal RNA". It matches the Rfam family "Bacterial small subunit ribosomal RNA", at positions 28 to 507 of the family's 1533-position model. The record is from RNAcentral.